UACGAAGGGGGCUAGCGUUGCUCGGAAUCACUGGGCGUAAAGCGCACGUAGGCGGAUUUCUAAGUCGGAGGUGAAAGCCCAGGGCUCAACCCUGGAAUUGCCUUCGAUACUGGAAGUCUCGAGUUCGGAAGAGGUUGGUGGAACUGCGAGUGUAGAGGUGAAAUUCGUAGAUAUUCGCAAGAACACCAGUGGCGAAGGCGGCCAACUGGUCCGAUACUGACGCUGAGGUGCGAAAGCGUGGGGAGCAAACAGG
RNAcentral lists this ribosomal RNA (253 nucleotides) under uncultured bacterium. RNAcentral describes it as "partial 16S ribosomal RNA". It matches the Rfam family "Bacterial small subunit ribosomal RNA", at positions 524 to 776 of the family's 1533-position model. The record is from RNAcentral.